AUGGUGGCAGCGCCAGUUCUUGAUGAAUGUCGUAGUUAUCUAGCAGAUUUCGGGAGGUUUACUAUUGAGCAUUGUAUUAGAGAGUCAAAUUAUAUAGCUCAUGAGCUGGCUAGAUGGGGACGUGAUAAUAAUCCAUCUCGUUGGAUUGGUGCCCCGCCUGAUUUCAUUGUGAGUCUGCUGGCAGACGAUAUAUCCAUCCUUUGA
This 204-nucleotide ribosomal RNA is filed under the name Triticum aestivum (bread wheat). RNAcentral's name for it is "partial small subunit ribosomal RNA". Lineage: Eukaryota; Viridiplantae; Streptophyta; Magnoliopsida; Poales; Poaceae. The record is from RNAcentral.